UAACACAUGCAAGUCGAACGAGAAAGCGGAGCAAUCCAUGAGUAAAGUGGCGACCGGGUGAGUAACACGUGACUAACCUACCUCCGAGUGGGGAAUAACUCCGGGAAACCGGGGCUAAUACCGCAUAACAUCGCAAGAUCAAAGCAGCAAUGCGCUUGGAGAGGGGGUCGCGGCUGAUUAGCUUGUUGGCGGGGUAACGGCCCACCAAGGCGAAGAUCGGUAUCCGGCCUGAGAGGGCGCACGGACACACUGGAACUGAAACACGGUCCAGACUCCUACGGGAGGCAGCAGUGGGGAAUUUUGCGCAAUGGGGGAAACCCUGACGCAGCAACGCCGCGUGGAGGAUGAAGCCCUUUGGGGCGUAAACUCCUUUCGACUCGGAAGAUAAUGACGGUACGAGUGGAAGAAGCACCGGCUAACUCUGUGCCAGCAGCCGCGGUAAUACAGAGGGUGCGAGCGUUGUUCGGAAUUAUUGGGCGUAAAGGGCGCGUAGGCGGUGCGGUAAGUCACCUGUGAAAUCUCCUGNCUUAACUGGGAGUCUGCAGGCGAAACUACCGUGCUG
RNAcentral lists this ribosomal RNA (562 nucleotides) under uncultured bacterium. Its description in RNAcentral is "bacterial SSU rRNA". It matches the Rfam family "Bacterial small subunit ribosomal RNA", at positions 49 to 643 of the family's 1533-position model. The record is from RNAcentral.